RNAcentral lists this ribosomal RNA (433 nucleotides) under uncultured bacterium. RNAcentral's name for it is "partial 16S ribosomal RNA". It matches the Rfam family "Bacterial small subunit ribosomal RNA", at positions 29 to 507 of the family's 1533-position model. The record is from RNAcentral.
AACGAACGCUGGCGACAUGCCUAACACAUGCAAGUCGAACGAGACCUUCGGGUCUAGUGGCGCACGGGUGCGUAACGCGUGGGAACCUGCCCUUAGGUUCGGAAUAACUCCCCGAAAGGGGUGCUAAUACCGGAUAAUGUCUUCGGGCCAAAGAUUUAUCGCCUUUGGAUGGGCCCGCGUUGGAUUAGCUAGUUGGUAGGGUAAAAGCCUACCAAGGCGACGAUCCAUAGCUGGUCUGAGAGGAUGAUCAGCCACACUGGGACUGAGACACGGCCCAGACUCCUACGGGAGGCAGCAGUGGGGAAUAUUGGACAAUGGGCGAAAGCCUGAUCCAGCAAUGCCGCGUGAGUGAUGAAGGCCUUAGGGUUGUAAAGCUCUUUUACCCGGGAUGAUAAUGACAGUACCGGGAGAAUAAGCUCCGGCUAACUCCGUG